UACGGAGGGUGCAAGCGUUAUCCGGAUUCACUGGGUUUAAAGGGUGCGUAGGUGGUUGGGCAAGUCUGAUGUGAAAUCUCCGGGCUUAACCCGGAAAUGGCAUUGGAAACUGCCUGGCUAGAGUGUUGGAGGGGGGACUGGAAUUCUCGGUGUAGCAGUGAAAUGCGUAGAUAUCGAGAGGAACACCAGUGGCGAAGGCGAGUCCCUGGACAACGACUGACACUGAGGCACGAAAGCUAGGGGAGCAAACAGG
This 253-nucleotide ribosomal RNA is filed under the name uncultured bacterium. RNAcentral's name for it is "partial 16S ribosomal RNA". It matches the Rfam family "Bacterial small subunit ribosomal RNA", at positions 524 to 776 of the family's 1533-position model. The record is from RNAcentral.